Molecule: ribosomal RNA, 1380 nt
Filed under: uncultured bacterium
Lineage: Bacteria
Description: partial 16S ribosomal RNA
Rfam family: Bacterial small subunit ribosomal RNA
Source: RNAcentral
AGAGUUUGAUCCUGGCUCAGGAUGAACGCUGGCGGCGUGCUUAACACAUGCAAGUCGAACGAGGAAUUUUAAAUGAGACUUCGGUGGAUUUUGGAAUUCUUAGUGGCGGACGGGUGAGUAACGCGUGGGUAACCUGCCCUGUACAGGGGGAUAACAGCUGGAAACGGCUGCUAAUACCGCAUAAGCGCACGAGGAGACAUCUCCUUGUGUGAAAAACUCCGGUGGUACAGGAUGGGCCCGCGUCUGAUUAGCUGGUUGGCAGGGUAACGGCCUACCAAGGCAACGAUCAGUAGCCGGUCUGAGAGGAUGAACGGCCACAUUGGAACUGAGACACGGUCCAAACUCCUACGGGAGGCAGCAGUGGGGAAUAUUGCACAAUGGGGGAAACCCUGAUGCAGCAACGCCGCGUGAGUGAAGAAGUAUUUCGGUAUGUAAAGCUCUAUCAGCAGGGAAGAUAAUGACGGUACCUGACUAAGAAGCUCCGGCUAAAUACGUGCCAGCAGCCGCGGUAAUACGUAUGGAGCAAGCGUUAUCCGGAUUUACUGGGUGUAAAGGGUGCGUAGGUGGCAGUGCAAGUCAGAUGUGAAAGGCCGGGGCUCAACCCCGGAGCUGCAUUUGAAACUGCUCGGCUAGAGUACAGGAGAGGCAGGCGGAAUUCCUAGUGUAGCGGUGAAAUGCGUAGAUAUUAGGAGGAACACCAGUGGCGAAGGCGGCCUGCUGGACUGUUACUGACACUGAGGCACGAAAGCGUGGGGAGCAAACAGGAUUAGAUACCCUGGUAGUCCACGCUGUAAACGAUGAUUACUAGGUGUUGGAGGAUUGACCCCUUCAGUGCCGCAGUUAACACAAUAAGUAAUCCACCUGGGGAGUACGACCGCAAGGUUGAAACUCAAAGGAAUUGACGGGGGCCCGCACAAGCAGUGGAGUAUGUGGUUUAAUUCGACGCAACGCGAAGAACCUUACCAAGUCUUGACAUCCCUUGACGAACAUAGAAAUAUGUUUUCUCUUCGGAGCAAGGAGACAGGUGGUGCAUGGUUGUCGUCAGCUCGUGUCGUGAGAUGUUGGGUUAAGUCCCGCAACGAGCGCAACCCUUACUGUCAGUUACUACGCAAGAGGACUCUGGCAGGACUGCCGUUGACAAAACGGAGGAAGGUGGGGAUGACGUCAAAUCAUCAUGCCCUUUAUGACUUGGGCUACACACGUACUACAAUGGCGUUAAACAAAGAGAAGCAAGACCGCGAGGUGGAGCAAAACUCAGAAACAACGUCCCAGUUCGGACUGCAGGCUGCAACUCGCCUGCACGAAGUCGGAAUUGCUAGUAAUCGCAGAUCAGCGUGCUGCGGUGAAUACGUUCCCGGGCCUUGCACACACCGCCCGUCA